Molecule: long non-coding RNA, 412 nt
Organism: Asparagus officinalis (garden asparagus)
Lineage: Eukaryota; Viridiplantae; Streptophyta; Magnoliopsida; Asparagales; Asparagaceae
Exons: 2
Source: RefSeq, a predicted model, not a curated record
AACCAAGCUUCUAUGCUCUUUUCUGUCACUGCCAGUUCCUUGUAAGGGUGAAAAUCCCUCCGGUGAAGAAGUGAAUAACAUGCUUAAUGGAGCAUUUCCAUUUUUUUUAGCAAAGAAUGCUUCAAAAGUUCUUGUUGGUUGGAUAUGAUGGAUCAGGAACCAGUACCAUAUUUAAACAGGGGAUGAAGGAUGCGAGAUUGAUGUUUUGAUGGGCUCACUAAAGUCAAAAACCAAGGACUUCGACAUAUUUUUCUCUCUCUUUGGUUAAGAUACUCUAUAUGAAAUUGAUUGUAAUAGACUUUGUUGGUUAAGAUCUUCUAUAUGAAAUUGAUUGUAAUAGACUUUGUUAGUUAAGAUUUUCUAUAUGAAAUUGAUUAUACUUUAUAUUAGGAUUAUCAUGAUAUUUACUUUA